Molecule: ribosomal RNA, 90 nt
Filed under: Streptococcus penaeicida
Lineage: Bacteria; Bacillati; Bacillota; Bacilli; Lactobacillales; Streptococcaceae
Source: RNAcentral
UUAAGUGACGAUAGCUAGGAGAUACACCUGUACCCAUGCCGAACACAGUAGUUAAGCCCUAGAACGCCUGAAGUAGUUGGGGGUUGCCCC